RNAcentral lists this ribosomal RNA (434 nucleotides) under uncultured bacterium. RNAcentral's name for it is "partial 16S ribosomal RNA". It matches the Rfam family "Bacterial small subunit ribosomal RNA", at positions 29 to 508 of the family's 1533-position model. The record is from RNAcentral.
AACGAACGCUGGCGGCAUGCCUAACACAUGCAAGUCGAACGAGACCUUCGGGUCUAGUGGCGCACGGGUGCGUAACGCGUGGGAACCUGCCCUUAGGUUCGGAAUAACUCCCCGAAAGGGGUGCUAAUACCGGAUAAUGUCUUCGGACCAAAGAUUUAUCGCCUUUGGAUGGGCCCGCGUUGGAUUAGCUAGUUGGUAGGGUAAAAGCCUACCAAGGCGACGAUCCAUAGCUGGUCUGAGAGGAUGAUCAGCCACACUGGGACUGAGACACGGCCCAGACUCCUACGGGAGGCAGCAGUGGGGAAUAUUGGACAAUGGGCGAAAGCCUGAUCCAGCAAUGCCGCGUGAGUGAUGAAGGCCUUAGGGUUGUAAAGCUCUUUUACCCGGGAUGAUAAUGACAGUACCGGGAGGAUAAGCUCCGGCUAACUCCGUGC